UGGACCUAUCCCUUUCUCUCUGGUC
RNAcentral lists this non-coding RNA (25 nucleotides) under Rattus norvegicus (Norway rat). Lineage: Eukaryota; Metazoa; Chordata; Mammalia; Rodentia; Muridae. The record is from RNAcentral.